CUGUUUUCUCUCCGAAAAUAGUAAAACCAUCGUCCCAUAAUAACACCCGACCCGUUUUCCAUCGAUUCCAGUGAGAUUCGAGUUGGUUUCGACGAGAUUUCAUGCGAAGUGGUCGUUUGAACUUGGUUCCGGUGAAAUCGUUUGUGGGUUUUCGUUAUUACAAUAUUUGGUCUGAUGUGGUGAUUAAAUCGAGUUUGUUAUUGAG
RNAcentral lists this long non-coding RNA (205 nucleotides) under Capsicum annuum. RNAcentral describes it as "long non-coding RNA (CANN_LNC008880)". Lineage: Eukaryota; Viridiplantae; Streptophyta; Magnoliopsida; Solanales; Solanaceae. The record is from RNAcentral.